UGCUCUUCCACCCGCCUGGCAGCCCCUUCCCAGCGCCUUCUUUACCUGGCUAACUCCCACUUCAGACAGGAUAGAAGACAGUGUAGAGAGCACAAACCCCAGCGCACUGCCAGCAUCUAGCAGAGUGGACGCUCAAGCAGCCUUUGUUUAAUGAAUGAAUGAGCAGACAGGCCACCCACCUGUGGCUGGAAUCCGGGAGGGUUUUGCCCUGUGCAGGACAGUCCAGCACUGUGUCAUUCGGUCAUUUCGUCCUCACACGAAUGCAGGCCGAUGAGCUGUGUGUCGUCUCAUGCAUGCAUGCCAGUGAACUUUGAGGAUCAGUAUUUGUUUUUUAAAAACCAGGACUCUUCACCCCGGGAGCCCCAGUCUGUCUCUGGCAGACUGUUGUCUUAGCUGAAACAGUAAAAGUGGAAUUAACCAGCUCAACAUGGUAACACUGCGACUAGCGAUGGAAACCUUGCACUUCUAGAAUUUAGUGAGCCUUUUUAAAGAAAUCAAUUAUUGUCUAGCAACUCCACGAUUAAAGUACUUUAGAGUUCACAAAUGUGAAGACAUGCCUGGGGGAAAAGGGCUUAUGUCACAGAAGGGGGGGAACAACUGAUUGUAAAGCCAUGUCUAUGCUGAUCGUAAGUAUAUGAAAAUUAGACAGCAUAUUGGCAGUAACUGGGAGGAAACGUUAAAACAGCUGGUUUUAAGAAUGGCAAGAUUAGAGACAUUCUUUUCUUUCAUUUUCUUUUCUCACUUGAUUUCUGCUUUUAUUGCAACAAUAUUGCUCUGCCAUACAAGGUUGUCAGCUAAAUAUCUAGGUUAUACUUAACAUAUGGAAAAAUCAUAAUUCACCUAGAGUGAAUUAAAAAUUAUAUUCUACCUUAAAAAUGAAAGUGGACAAUAUGAAGCUUCCUUACC
Long non-coding RNA from Chinchilla lanigera (long-tailed chinchilla), 906 nucleotides. RefSeq lists it as uncharacterized. The transcript has 3 exons. Lineage: Eukaryota; Metazoa; Chordata; Mammalia; Rodentia; Chinchillidae. The record is from RefSeq and is a predicted model, not a curated record.